Oreochromis aureus is the source of this 625-nucleotide long non-coding RNA. RefSeq lists it as uncharacterized. The transcript has 5 exons. The record is from RefSeq and is a predicted model, not a curated record. NCBI's taxonomy places the organism in Eukaryota, Metazoa, Chordata, Actinopteri, Cichliformes, Cichlidae.
AUACUAUACAAAAUGAAAAACCCUCCAUUUGGUUACACCCAAUGAUGCAAUCAUUGACCUCAUGACCCUAUAUAAACAGGAAGUACGGGGCGGCCCUUCCGAUAUACCUGUCUUAAAUAUAGGACCUGAAUAAACAACAUGGACACCAUGUAUUUCGUGUGGGCGGCUGGAAACUACCUACAGGGUUAAACGGGAGGCCCAGUGAGGAUCAUCCACUCGUGGACACGGCUGCAAAAGUCUCUGCAACACCAGUGCUGGAGGAGGCGCAGUAGGAGAAGGAGAAAACAGUAUGAGGUGGUCCGACCUGAGCACAAGGUGUUUUCAGUGACGUGUGGCGGUUGCAGGACAUGUGACAGCCUGAUGGUGUUCCUGUUGUCGAGUCUGAGCUUGGCCAGCAGCCAGUCUGUGAUGACCGGCUUCAUCGGUGAUGAGGUCCUCCUGCCCUGCGUCUACUCUGAAAAGCUGUCCGAGCCGGUCAAGGCCUUCUGGAGGGACAAGGAUGACCAAGUUGUGUUGGACAUCAUCAACAGCAGAGAGGAUAAAAUAGAUGCGAAGUUUAAAGGUCGUGUGGUCAGCUUCCCAAACCAAUACAAGACUGGAAACCUCUCCAUCAUCAUAAAGGACC